CAGCAGCCACGGGAAUACGGAGGGAGCUAGCGUUGUUCGGAAUUACUGGGCGUAGAGCGCGCGUAGGCGGUUACUCAAGUCAGAGGCGAAAGCCCGGGGCUCAACCCCGGAACUGCCUUUGAAACUAGGUAACUAGAAUCUUGGAGAGGUCAGUGGAAUUCCGAGUGUAGAGGUGAAAUUCGUAGAUAUUCGGAAGAACACCAGUGGCGAAGGCGACUGACUGGACAAGUAUUGACGCUGAGGUGCGAAAGCGUGGGGAGCAAACAGGAUUAGAUACCCCCGUAGUCCCUGUCUCUUAUAC
Molecule: ribosomal RNA, 301 nt
Filed under: uncultured bacterium
Lineage: Bacteria
Description: partial 16S ribosomal RNA
Rfam family: Bacterial small subunit ribosomal RNA
Source: RNAcentral